RNAcentral lists this ribosomal RNA (253 nucleotides) under uncultured bacterium. RNAcentral describes it as "partial 16S ribosomal RNA". It matches the Rfam family "Bacterial small subunit ribosomal RNA", at positions 524 to 776 of the family's 1533-position model. The record is from RNAcentral.
UACAGAGGCCUCAAGCGUUAGGCGGAAUCACUGGGCUUAAAGCGUGUGUAGGUGGAUGCCUAAGUACCUUGUGAAAUCCCACGGCUUAACCAUGGAAUUGCUUGGUAUACUGGGUGUCUUGAGCCACUCAGGGGCUACCGGAACAAACGGUGGAGCGGUGAAAUGCGUAGAUAUCGUUUGGAACGCCAAUGGUGAAAACAGGUAGCUGGGGGUGUGCUGACGCUGAGACACGAAAGCCAGGGGAGCAAACGGG